RNAcentral lists this ribosomal RNA (253 nucleotides) under uncultured bacterium. RNAcentral describes it as "partial 16S ribosomal RNA". It matches the Rfam family "Bacterial small subunit ribosomal RNA", at positions 524 to 776 of the family's 1533-position model. The record is from RNAcentral.
UACGGAGGGUGCAAGCGUUAUCCGGAUUCACUGGGUUUAAAGGGUGCGUAGGAGGGCAGGUAAGUCAGUGGUGAAAUCUCCAAGCUUAACUUGGAAGCUGCCGUUGAUACUAUCUGUCUUGAAUACCGUGGAGGUGAGCGGAAUAUGUCAUGUAGCGGUGAAAUGCUUAGAUAUGACAUAGAACACCAAUUGCGAAGGCAGCUCACUACACGAAUAUUGACUCUGAGGCACGAAAGCGUGGGGAUCAAACAGG